AGAGGCGUGGCAGAGUGAUCUAUUGCACCCGUUUUGAAAGCGGGAGAUCGGGGUGACCUGAUCCGUGGGUUUGAAUCCUACCGCCUCUG
Molecule: transfer RNA, 89 nt
Filed under: Richelia sp. RM2_1_2
Lineage: Bacteria; Bacillati; Cyanobacteriota; Cyanophyceae; Nostocales; Nostocaceae
Description: tRNA-Ser
Rfam family: tRNA
About the family: Transfer RNA (tRNA) molecules are approximately 80 nucleotides in length. Their secondary structure includes four short double-helical elements and three loops (D, anti-codon, and T loops). Further hydrogen bonds mediate the characteristic L-shaped molecular structure. tRNAs have two regions of fundamental functional importance: the anti-codon, which is responsible for specific mRNA codon recognition, and the 3' end, to which the tRNAs corresponding amino acid is attached (by aminoacyl-tRNA synthetases). tRNAs cope with the degeneracy of the genetic code in two manners: having more than one tRNA (with a specific anti-codon) for a particular amino acid; and 'wobble' base-pairing, i.e. permitting non-standard base-pairing at the 3rd anti-codon position.
Source: RNAcentral